GCGCUACUAGUUUAGUGGUAAAACACGUGCUUCCCAAGCAUGGGUCGUCGGUUCGAUUCCGACGUGGCGCACCA
RNAcentral lists this transfer RNA (74 nucleotides) under Opitutaceae bacterium EW11. RNAcentral's name for it is "tRNA-Gly". It matches the Rfam family "tRNA". From Rfam's summary of the family: Transfer RNA (tRNA) molecules are approximately 80 nucleotides in length. Their secondary structure includes four short double-helical elements and three loops (D, anti-codon, and T loops). Further hydrogen bonds mediate the characteristic L-shaped molecular structure. tRNAs have two regions of fundamental functional importance: the anti-codon, which is responsible for specific mRNA codon recognition, and the 3' end, to which the tRNAs corresponding amino acid is attached (by aminoacyl-tRNA synthetases). tRNAs cope with the degeneracy of the genetic code in two manners: having more than one tRNA (with a specific anti-codon) for a particular amino acid; and 'wobble' base-pairing, i.e. permitting non-standard base-pairing at the 3rd anti-codon position. The record is from RNAcentral. Lineage: Bacteria; Pseudomonadati; Verrucomicrobiota; Opitutia; Opitutales; Opitutaceae.